UACAGAGGGUGCAAACGUUGCUCGGAAUCAUUGGGCGUAAAGCGCACGUAGGCGGCCUAGCAAGUAGGGAGUGAAAGCCCUCGGCUUAACCGAGGAAGUGCUUUCUAAACUACUAGGCUUGAAUACUGGAGAGGGUCGCGGAAUUCCCGGUGUAGAGGUGAAAUUCGUAGAUAUCGGGAGGAACACCAGUGGCGAAGGCGGCGACCUGGACAGAUAUUGACGCUGAGGAGCGAAAGCCAGGGGAGCAAACGGG
This 253-nucleotide ribosomal RNA is filed under the name uncultured bacterium. RNAcentral's name for it is "partial 16S ribosomal RNA". It matches the Rfam family "Bacterial small subunit ribosomal RNA", at positions 524 to 776 of the family's 1533-position model. The record is from RNAcentral.